AGUCAACUUCAGUUUUAAACAUAAUUAUCAUAAUUUGUGGCUGAGUACACAUUCAAGAGUACUGGAAGCAGAUAGCAAGAAUACUUCUUCCCUAAUUACUAAGUUGAUAUUGGAUGCUACUAUUGUCAAGAAGUGGAUUAAAACAAUCUUUGGAAAGAAUGGCCGUUUUUAAUGAACAUCGCUUGAAUAAGUUAAGCUGGUGGGAAAAGAAGCCCAAGUUAAGUCCUUCAAGUGAAGCAAGGAGCUGGUAGGAAGAGAAACCCAAGUUCAAUCUUUUAAGGGAAACAAAGAUUGCAGGGAAGAGACAAGUUAGGGUUGCGAUUCUGCUAUAAUGUCCUAAAGGAUUUUGUUCUCAGCAAGUUCUGAAUGAAGCUGGAUAUUUACCAUCAAACUCUGAAAAGUAUCCUCUAGGGGGCAUAAUCGCAGCAAUUCAAAAUGCUUUCCAUGCAACACCGGAGCUCCAGUGCAAAGGUGGUGCAGUGGAGGAACUCCGUUUGUGCUUCUUUAAGGAUUUCAAGCCUCGAGAUUGCAUCAGUGAACCUCACAUUAAAAGUUAUCUGGUUGCUUCAAGCUCGUGUCCCAAGUACGUCAGCUUGCCUGAUGUUCAAGCCUCUUCAAGAUAUGCUGACACAAGAGUGGCUUUCUGAAUAAUCAUCAACGUGGAACGUUAUGCCAGUCGUCUCUCAAAGACACCUGUACCAAAUGAAGAGCCAGAGAUCAUCUGGAGAUGAUGUUGUAUGACAGACUAUUAGAAAAUUGAACAUCAAGAAUGGGAUAUUUGUCCCUUUUGGACCAUCAUUGUUAACUGCUGCUCGGAAUUACAAGAUGUUUGGAGCUGUCUAAAGUUGUAGCAGUGUAUCUGACAUAAACAUUUCAUCCACUGUAGAUCUUCUCUGGUUGUUUAUAUGUAAUCUGUUAGUAGUUUAUUUGGUCAAA
This is a non-coding RNA of Coffea arabica (coffee), 936 nucleotides long. The record is from RefSeq and is a predicted model, not a curated record. Lineage: Eukaryota; Viridiplantae; Streptophyta; Magnoliopsida; Gentianales; Rubiaceae.